AACUCAAAUGAAUUGACGGGGGCCUGCACAAGCGGUGGAGCAUGUGGUUUAAUUGAAGCAACGCGCAGAACCUUACCAGCGUUUGACAUGUCCGGACGAUUUCCAGAGAUGGAUUUCUUCCCUUCGGGGACUGGAACACAGGUGCUGCAUGGCUGUCGUCAGCUCGUGUCGUGAGAUGUUGGGUUAAGUCCCGCAACGAGCGCAGCCCUCGUCCUUAGUUGCCAUCAUUCAGUUGGGCACUCUAAGGAAACCGCCGGUGAUAAGCCGGAGGAAGGUGGGGAUGACGUCAAGUCCUCAUGGCCCUUACGCGCUGGGCUACACACGUGCUACAAUGGCGGUGACAGUGGGCAGCAAUCCCGCAAGGGUGAGCUAAUCUCCAAAAGCCGUCUCAGUUCGGAUUGUUCUCUGCAACUCGAGAGCAUGAAGGCGGAAUCGCUAGUAAUCGCGGAUCAGCAUGCCGCGGUGAAUACGUUCCCAGGCCUUGUACACACCGCCCGUCACACCAUGGGAGUUGGAUUCACCCGAAGGCAGUGCGCUAACCGCAAGGAGGCAGCUGACCACGGUGGGUUCAGCGACUGGGGUGAAGUCGUAACAAGGUAG
Molecule: ribosomal RNA, 600 nt
Filed under: uncultured bacterium
Lineage: Bacteria
Description: bacterial SSU rRNA
Rfam family: Bacterial small subunit ribosomal RNA
Source: RNAcentral